UUGUCCUUAGUUACCAGCACGUUAUGGUGGGCACUCUAAGGAGACUGCCGGUGACAAACCGGAGGGAAGUGGGGAUGACGUCAAGUCAUCAUGGCCCUUACGGCCUGGGCUACACACGUAGCUACAAUGGUCGGUACAAAGGGUUGCCAAGCCGCGAGGUGGAGCUAAUCCCAUAAAACCGAUCGUAGUCCGGAUCGCAGUCUGCAACUCGACUGCGUGAAGUCGGAAUCGCUAGUAAUCGUGAAUCAGAAUGUCACGGUGAAUACGUUCCCGGGCCUU
This 279-nucleotide ribosomal RNA is filed under the name uncultured Pseudomonas sp. Its description in RNAcentral is "partial 16S ribosomal RNA". It matches the Rfam family "Bacterial small subunit ribosomal RNA", at positions 1105 to 1382 of the family's 1533-position model. Lineage: Bacteria; Pseudomonadati; Pseudomonadota; Gammaproteobacteria; Pseudomonadales; Pseudomonadaceae. The record is from RNAcentral.